This 76-nucleotide transfer RNA is filed under the name Campylobacterales bacterium. RNAcentral's name for it is "tRNA-Thr". It matches the Rfam family "tRNA". Rfam says of the family: Transfer RNA (tRNA) molecules are approximately 80 nucleotides in length. The record is from RNAcentral. Lineage: Bacteria; Pseudomonadati; Campylobacterota; Epsilonproteobacteria; Campylobacterales.
GCUGGUGUAGCUCAGUCGGUAGAGCACCUGAUUUGUAAUCAGGCGGUCGAUGGUUCGAUUCCUUUCGCCAGCACCA